CCUACGGGUGGCAGCAGUGGGGAAUAUUGGACAAUGGGCGAAAGCCUGAUCCAGCCAUGCCGCGUGUGUGAAGAAGGCCUUCGGGUUGUAAAGCACUUUCAGUGGGGAAGAAAGCCUUGGGGCUAAUACCCUCGAGGAAGGACAUCACCCACAGAAGAAGCACCGGCUAACUCCGUGCCAGCAGCCGCGGUAAUACGGAGGGUGCGAGCGUUAAUCGGAAUUACUGGGCGUAAAGCGCGCGUAGGCGGUCUGAUAAGCCGGUUGUGAAAGCCCCGGGCUCAACCUGGGAACGGCAUCUGGAACUGUCAGGCUAGAGUGCAGGAGAGGAAGGUAGAAUUCCCGGUGUAGCGGUGAAAUGCGUAGAUAUCGGGAAGAAUACCAGUGGCGAAGGCGGCCGUCUGGACUGACACUGACGCUGAGGUGCGAAAGCGUGGGUAGCAAACAGGAUUAGAUACCCGUGUAGUC
RNAcentral lists this ribosomal RNA (465 nucleotides) under Vreelandella stevensii. RNAcentral's name for it is "partial 16S ribosomal RNA". It matches the Rfam family "Bacterial small subunit ribosomal RNA", at positions 338 to 795 of the family's 1533-position model. The record is from RNAcentral. Lineage: Bacteria; Pseudomonadati; Pseudomonadota; Gammaproteobacteria; Oceanospirillales; Halomonadaceae.